Non-coding RNA from Eublepharis macularius, 430 nucleotides. The record is from the annotation of a RefSeq genome assembly. NCBI's taxonomy places the organism in Eukaryota, Metazoa, Chordata, Lepidosauria, Squamata, Eublepharidae.
AGCGCAGUCCCUUUUUGCGCCUAACAUGGCUGGACGCAGUAUGAUGCCUCACCCUGUGGCCCUGGCUGUGUUAAUCAUGGUUGUCGUAAAAGGGAGUGUUGGACAGUCAGUGAACCAAUCUGAAGGCACUGUGACUGUCCCCCAAGGCAACCCGAUAUUUCUUGAAUGUACAUAUCCACCUUCUCAAGACUACCCAUUCUGGUAUGUUCAGUACCCCGGACAACCUCUCAAGCUAUUUCUGAAAGAUUUGGGCAAAGAUGGCUCAGAGGAAGGGACUCGCCAGGGUUUUGAAGCCAAUCAUGAUAAAAAACUGAAGACCUACCACAUGAGGAAAACCACCAGCCAGCUGAGCGACUCUGCCGUCUACUUCUGUGCCGCAAGUGGCACAGUGAAGCUGGCCAGAAGAGACUCAGAGCAAAAACAUGCAUGA